Heligmosomoides polygyrus is the source of this 70-nucleotide non-coding RNA. The record is from Rfam. NCBI's taxonomy places the organism in Eukaryota, Metazoa, Nematoda, Chromadorea, Rhabditida, Heligmosomidae.
GCGCCGGUGGUGUAAGGCGAACAUCGCUGCCCGGAAAGCAGAAGAUGGGGUUCGAGUCCCGCCUGGCGCA